AUUGAACGCUGGCGGCAGGCCUAACACAUGCAAGUCGAGCGAGUGGCGGACGGGUGAGUAAUGUAUGGGGAUCUGCCCGAUAGAGGGGGAUAACUACUGGAAACGGUAGCUAAUACCGCAUACUAUCGGAUGAACCCAAAUGGGAUUAGCUAGUAGGUGGGGUAAAGGCUCACCAAGGCGACGAUCUCUAGCUGGUCUGAGAGGAUGACCAGCCACACUGGGACUGAGACACGGCCCAGACUCCUACGGGAGGCAGCAGUGGGGAAUAUUGCGCAAUGGGGGCAAGCCUGAUGCAGCCAUGCCGCGUGUAUGAAGAAGGCCUUAGGGUUGUAAAGUUCUUUCGGCAGGGAGGCGUUACCCGCAGAAGAAGCACCGGCUAACUCCGUGCCAGCAGCCGCGGUAAUAC
RNAcentral lists this ribosomal RNA (406 nucleotides) under uncultured bacterium. Its description in RNAcentral is "partial 16S ribosomal RNA". It matches the Rfam family "Bacterial small subunit ribosomal RNA", at positions 30 to 526 of the family's 1533-position model. The record is from RNAcentral.